GUAGGUGAACCUGCGGAAGGAUCAUUAUCAACGUUAUCCACGUACUAACCAUUAUCAAAAUGUGAACUGUAUCAAUCCUCUGAGUGAAGCAGUUGGAAGUGCGAUUUCUGUUCGUUCUCGAAAGGGAGCGGGCAGAAAACGCUGUCUUUCUCAGAGUGUACUUUCUAACUAACUAUUAACCUAUUGAACCGAAACUAAAUUACUUCUUUACAUGUGAACUGAAUUAUCAUUCUUUCCCUUUCUCUUUCGAGAGCAAAGUGAACGAUGAUCAAUUUACGAAACUAAUAAGAACAACUCUUAGCAACGGAUAUCUUGGUUCUC
Molecule: unclassified non-coding RNA, 321 nt
Filed under: rhizosphere metagenome
Description: partial ribosomal RNA internal transcribed spacer region
Source: RNAcentral